GCUACUAUUGCAUAGUGCUGAGGGUUGAGUGCAGUGGGUCAGGGUCAUAGUUUGCAGGGCUGGGUGUUGAAGCUACAGGUGUUGGAGGCAGCUGGUGAUGAUAAGAA
Molecule: non-coding RNA, 107 nt
Organism: Chelonoidis abingdonii (Abingdon island giant tortoise)
Lineage: Eukaryota; Metazoa; Chordata; Testudines; Testudinidae
Source: RefSeq, a predicted model, not a curated record